RNAcentral lists this transfer RNA (105 nucleotides) under Lentinula guzmanii. It matches the Rfam family "tRNA". From Rfam's summary of the family: Transfer RNA (tRNA) molecules are approximately 80 nucleotides in length. Their secondary structure includes four short double-helical elements and three loops (D, anti-codon, and T loops). Lineage: Eukaryota; Fungi; Basidiomycota; Agaricomycetes; Agaricales; Omphalotaceae. The record is from Rfam by way of RNAcentral.
GCUUCCUUGGCUCAGUUGGCUAGAGCGCGAGUCUCAUAUCGAAUGGUUUGAGGUCAUUGGAUGACUGUAAUCUCGAGGUCGCAAGUUCGAGCCUUGCAGGGAGCA